ACCAAUAUAAAGGCAUAGAGCUGAUGAAGAAAGAUAUGAGCAUAUGUUUAUCUUUGAUAUUGCACUAAACAAAAAGGAUAUGGCUCGUUCCUCUAGACCUGUUUAAGAAGUGAAAAUCUUCUUGUUUAAUGUGCUUUGUGAGUUUUGCAUCAACAACUGCAUCCAGUUUUGAUUAUAAAACUCUUGAAGGAAAUGAUGUUCUAUUAUAUUCAGACUUGGUAGCCUGCUAUUAUGUUGAUAGUGAAAAGAAUGAUUUCCAUCCCGGUUCCUAUCCAAGGUACAUUCCUUUUGUAUUAUUCUGGAAUAUUAUACAUAUAACUGAAGAUGUCUGGCAUGUAUAGGUGAGAUAAGAUUUUAUGGCUAAUGCGUUUUUUCCUUUAAUAGCUUAUCUUCUCUUGUUCUCCAUCCAUCUUCUGAUUCAUCCUUUAUUCAUCUUCCUCUGUAUCAUUUACAUAUUUUCUGGAAGGGGAAGUAAUGAUAUUUGAAUCUCGGAACAUGUACAGUGAUACUAGUAGUUGUUAAGAAACAAUAAUUGAGUCCCGGCUUGAUCAGAUGAGUACUCAAAACAGUAUCUUUUAUAUGUUCAUAUGCUUUGGACUCUAUUAAUGACGGAGGAUCAGUACUUAUUCCCAUUGGACGGUCUGGAGUCAUGUUG
Molecule: long non-coding RNA, 655 nt
Filed under: Nicotiana tabacum (common tobacco)
Lineage: Eukaryota; Viridiplantae; Streptophyta; Magnoliopsida; Solanales; Solanaceae
Description: long non-coding RNA (NTAB_LNC015445)
Source: RNAcentral